ACACGACUACAUUAGAUACCCGCGUAGUCCUAGCCGUAAACGAUACUCGCUAGGUGUCGGCCACGGUGCGACCGUUGUCGGUGCCGUAGGGAAGCCGUGAAGCGAGCCACCUGGGAAGUACGGCGCAAGGCUGAAACUUAAAGGAAUUGGCGGGGGAGCACAACAACGGGUGGAGCUUGCGGUUUAAUUGGAUUCAACGCCGGAAAUCUUACCGGGACCGACAGCAACAUGAAGGCCAAGCUGAAGACUUUGCCGGAUUAGCUG
This 264-nucleotide ribosomal RNA is filed under the name uncultured archaeon. RNAcentral's name for it is "partial 16S ribosomal RNA". It matches the Rfam family "Archaeal small subunit ribosomal RNA", at positions 717 to 982 of the family's 1478-position model. The record is from RNAcentral.